AGGCAGCAGUGGGGAAUAUUGCACAAUGGGGGAAACCCUGAUGCAGCCAUGCCGCGUGUGUGAAGAAGGCCUUCGGGUUGUAAAGCACUUUCAGUAGGGAGGAAGGUAGUGUAGUUAACACCUGCACUAGUUUGACGUUACCUACAGAAGAAGCACCGGCUAACUCCGUGCCAGCAGCCGCGGUAAUACGGGAGGGUGCGAGCGUUAAUCGGAAUUACUGGGCGUAAAGCGCAUGCACGGCGGCCUGUUAAGUCAGAUGUGAAAGCCCGGGGCUUAACCUCGGAAUUGCAUUUAGAAACUGGCAGGCUAGAGUCUUGUAGAGGGGGGUAGGAAUUUCAGGUGUAGCGGUGAAAUGCGUAGAGAUCUGAAGGAAUACCAGUGGCGAAGGCGGCCCCCUGGACAAAGACUGACGCUCAGAUGCGAAAGCGUGGGGAGCAAACAGGAUUAGAUACCCUGGUAG
RNAcentral lists this ribosomal RNA (460 nucleotides) under uncultured bacterium. RNAcentral describes it as "bacterial SSU rRNA". It matches the Rfam family "Bacterial small subunit ribosomal RNA", at positions 346 to 793 of the family's 1533-position model. The record is from RNAcentral.